Molecule: long non-coding RNA, 871 nt
Organism: Triticum dicoccoides
Lineage: Eukaryota; Viridiplantae; Streptophyta; Magnoliopsida; Poales; Poaceae
Exons: 4
Source: RefSeq, a predicted model, not a curated record
UCGUGCUGCUCCCCGACGAUGCGGGCUCGCCCGAGUGGCGGGCGACCGGCGGCGGCGACACCAACGUCGUCGCGAGGGGGCUGCGAGUGGCGGGCAACUCGCACCUCUUCCGUCUUCCUCCCCUUGGCCUCGAUUCCCCAAUCCACCAAACACCGCCGACCUCCUCUCCUCUCCCACCAUCGACCUCCUCUCCCCAACCAGCCCCACCGAAGACUUCCGCGGUCUCCCCAUCCCCGGCAACCUCCGCCCUCGACCCCGUCGCCCUGGCGGCCCCUAAUCUCUCUUCCUUUCCAUGGCGACUGGCGAGGGAGGAUCCAGAUCCACUCGAGCGUGACUGCGGCGGCCACGCACCACAGAGGAAUCCUCCUCCUCCGACACCACCGCCUCCGCGCCCUCCUCCUUCAAGCCCCUAGUCCCCUGCUGCGUCCAGCCUCCACAUACACCCCUCCUCGCGCCCGGCCGAAACCCUAGCCAGCGGGCGGCCAUGGCGGACGAAGCUGCCGCACGCCAGAGGUAGAGCGCAGGCCUCUCUCCUCCAAGACCCCGACAAUGGUGACUGCUCUCUUGCUUGGUGUGUGUGCAGUUUGGUACCAUCCCGUGGGGAGGGCCAGGGACAAGCUGCUCUGAUCCGGCGAUAUUCCUCACCCGGAGAAGAGCCUUGCCCCUUGGACCCCUGGAUUGCAGUAGCUGACAAGAGCAAGUAUGUGAAUCUACAGACUCUCAAAUUGCAGGAAAACCCUGAGGAUGUUCCAACUGGUGAGCUUCCAAGGAAUGUGCUGCUUUCUGUAGACAGACAUCUUGUUCAGACAAUUGUUCCGGGGACUAGAUUAACUAUCGUUGGCAUCUACAGUCUAUUCCAAGCAUCUGGGAC